Long non-coding RNA from Apis dorsata (giant honeybee), 624 nucleotides. RefSeq lists it as uncharacterized. The transcript is spliced from 2 exons. Lineage: Eukaryota; Metazoa; Arthropoda; Insecta; Hymenoptera; Apidae. The record is from RefSeq and is a predicted model, not a curated record.
UAUGUAUAUUAAAAUUAUAUAUUUAAAAGUUGUAUUUAAUUACCUUGGAAGUCACUAGUAUCAGCGACAAUUGUUGUAAUUUCCUUUAAUUGUGUUAAUGAACUCGUCAUCUUGACUUUCUUCGAUUGAGGCUCACUCAUUCUUAUCGAUACUUUUAUAUACUGGAGAUCGAAAUUUCUGCUUCUUAUACUGGAAUAAUCAGCAUAUACGAUAUACACGAUUGCCAACAUGCAGCUUAAUUUAGUUUACAUCAAACUUUAUCAGUUAGACAAUGUUUAUCAAUAAAUGCAGACUUUGGUUGAUGACUAUACAUAAAAAUUGAACAUAUUACUAAAAUGGCACCUAUAGAAAACUGAAAACUCAAAUUAAAAUUAAAAAGAUAUAUUGAAGCUACACAAGAAAUUAUAAUAGCUAAGGAUGUGGCAAAACCUUUAAGUAUAUUAUCUGCAUAUUUAACCACCAUUGCAACAAUGAGACCUCCACCUGCUUGAAGUACAAUUAGAUAACAAAUAAAUAAAUCAUAGCCAAAGAAAAAACCUUGUUUCUGUAACAUUUCACCAUCAUUUACAAAACAUGUAAUUAAUCCAAAAGGUAAAGAUAAUAAACUUAAUUGAAUGUUUCUCA